Molecule: long non-coding RNA, 196 nt
Organism: Papilio polytes (common Mormon)
Lineage: Eukaryota; Metazoa; Arthropoda; Insecta; Lepidoptera; Papilionidae
Exons: 2
Source: RefSeq, a predicted model, not a curated record
GCGAGCUGCAGCUGCUCUGCAAGUGCUUUGGCUUCAAGCGCGGCUGCGGGGACGAGGUGGACUACCGCGCGCUGUGCACCGCGCUGGAGCUGGUGCACGCCACCACGCGCGCGCAGCCUUGCUAGCGACAGCGACACUCUCUCUGCCAUACGUUAUGUCCAUUGUUCAUGUGAUUAAAUUAUUAAACCAAUGUAAA